This 76-nucleotide transfer RNA is filed under the name bacterium. Its description in RNAcentral is "tRNA-Thr". It matches the Rfam family "tRNA". Rfam says of the family: Transfer RNA (tRNA) molecules are approximately 80 nucleotides in length. Their secondary structure includes four short double-helical elements and three loops (D, anti-codon, and T loops). The record is from RNAcentral. RNAcentral also lists the same sequence under 1 other name.
GCUGGUAUAGCUCAGUUGGUAGAGCAACUGAUUUGUAAUCAGUAGGUCGUCAGUUCGAACCCGACUACCAGCACCA